CUUUACGGACACGUGUGCGCAUUCAGAUGGCAGCCAUGGUUGGCGGCUCCUUUGUCGCAUGUGCUGCGGCCCUCACCUUUUCUGCAUCCGUCGUCAUCAGGGUACAGGCGCGGUGCAGGGCUACUUCGAGUCCAGGUGGGCAUCGAGGCCAGGUGAGUGGCCCCAUAACGUGGAAGGGAUGAUCGAGUUCUUCUAGAAGAUGUCCUGGUAAGUCAGUUGUGAAAGAAAGGUGGCCUCUUCCAGAGAGCCUUACUCUUCAGCCAGAACAGAGGUUAUCUGGGGCCUCUGAAGCCAAACUCCGUCGUAUCUUGAAUUCACAUUCAGGACUAAUCUCCCAAGAGUUCUCAAGGGAAGGAGAGACUGCGAUGUGGACUGUGGGUUGUACAGGGUUUUCGUAAUGCACUUAGCAAGCCUCCAGCGUGCUUGGGUCUGCCGUGACCCUGUGCAUUCCUACAGUGCUUGCCAAAACAAUUGUGAAGUGGUUUGAGGCCUUGCCCUGCUCUCUCCAGAGCAAGGUUAUAGAAAUUUCAGACAGUACGACAGAUACCUGGCGCCUGGGUAAGUCACAAGGGAGUAGAGUUUGUUUCUGUGGUCCAGAGUUAAUGCAAACUAUUAAGUCCUUAAAACAAUUACAAAAUACAGCAUGAGUUCAAGUAAAACUCGAGGUGUGGUCACAUGGUGUUUGCUCCAGGUGGGCCCUGGGCCUGGUUCUUAGCAAGCAAGAAAACCAGGAUCGGAGAGACCCAAGAUGGUAGAAGCCUGGCCCGUGUGCCAAUAGCUAAG
This 783-nucleotide long non-coding RNA is filed under the name Rattus norvegicus (Norway rat). RNAcentral describes it as "long non-coding RNA NONRATT010016". The stretch from base 405 to 537 matches the Rfam family "Small nucleolar RNA SNORA9". Lineage: Eukaryota; Metazoa; Chordata; Mammalia; Rodentia; Muridae. The record is from RNAcentral.